CGCAAUGGGCGAAAGCCUGACGGAGCAACGCCGCGUGAGUGAUGAAGGUCUUCGGAUCGUAAAACUCUGUUAUUAGGGAAGAACAAAUGUGUAAGUAACUAUGCACGUCUUGACGGUACCUAAUCAGAAAGCCACGGCUAACUACGUGCCAGCAGCCGCGGUAAUACGUAGGUAGCAAGCGUUAUCCGGAAUUAUUGGGCGUAAAGCGCGCGUAGGCGGUUUUUUAAGUUUGAUGUGAAAGCCCACGGCUCAACCGUGGAGGGUCAUUGGAAACUGGAAAACUUGAGUGCAGAAGAGGAAAGUGGAAUUCCAUGUGUAGCGGUGAAAUGCGCAGAGAUAUGGAGGAACACCAGUGGCGAAGGCGACUUUCUGGUCUGUAACUGACGCUGAUGUGCGAAAGCGUGGGGAUCAAACAGGAUUAGAUACCCUGGUAGUCCACGCCGUAAACGAUGAGUGCUAAGUGUUAGGGGGUUUCCGCCCCUUAGUGCUGCAGCUAACGCAUUAAGCACUCCGCCUGGGGAGUACGACCGCAAGGUUGAAACUCAAAGGAAUUGACGGGGGCCCGCACAAG
Molecule: ribosomal RNA, 571 nt
Filed under: uncultured bacterium
Lineage: Bacteria
Description: bacterial SSU rRNA
Rfam family: Bacterial small subunit ribosomal RNA
Source: RNAcentral